Molecule: long non-coding RNA, 318 nt
Filed under: Mytilus galloprovincialis (Mediterranean mussel)
Lineage: Eukaryota; Metazoa; Mollusca; Bivalvia; Mytilida; Mytilidae
Source: RNAcentral
AUUACACAGAUAUGUUCCUAGUAGCACAUACAAGUGUUUUAAAACAAAAAGGUAAUUAGAUAAAACAUUAAAAGGGUAAAAUGAAACAUGUGACAACUCAUUCAAGUAUCAAAAUGACAAUAGUCGUAAACACAUAAAGACAAAACAAAAACAACAAAAGAUGCGCUUUUCCACAAGACGUACAAAAGACACAAAGUAUAAGUAUCUGGUCCAUAUUUUUUAAUUACAAAUUAAGCAGUUACACUUUUAUAUUGCUUCAUAGCGGAAAAAAUAGAAAUACGUUUUAUCAUAUAUUUUACAAGAAAGUCUGAAAGACGG